RNAcentral lists this ribosomal RNA (466 nucleotides) under uncultured bacterium. RNAcentral describes it as "bacterial SSU rRNA". It matches the Rfam family "Bacterial small subunit ribosomal RNA", at positions 28 to 476 of the family's 1533-position model. The record is from RNAcentral.
GACGAACGCNGGCGGCGUGCCUAAUACAUGCAAGUAGAACGCUGAAGAGAGGAGCUUGCCCUUCUUGGAUGAGUUGCGAACGGGUGAGUAACGCGUAGGUAACCUGCCUGGUAGCGGGGGAUAACUAUUGGAAACGAUAGCUAAUACCGCAUAAAAUUGAUUAUUGCAUGAUAAUUAAUUGAAAGAUGCAAUUGCAUCACUACCAGAUGGACCUGCGUUGUAUUAGCUAGUUGGUGAGGUAACGGCUCACCAAGGCGACGAUACAUAGCCGACCUGAGAGGGUGAUCGGCCACACUGGGACUGAGACACGGCCCAGACUCCUACGGGAGGCAGCAGUAGGGAAUCUUCGGCAAUGGGGGGAACCCUGACCGAGCAACGCCGCGUGAGUGAAGAAGGUUUUCGGAUCGUAAAGCUCUGUUGUAAGAGAAGAACGGGUGUGAGAGNGGAAAGUCCACACNGNGACGGU